UGCCCAGCAAUUUCUAUCCCUACCUCCUCGUGGUACUGACCGGGGUACGAGUAACCUUAGGGAAAAUCGGGUAAUCAACCCUGGUAGGAACUUUGGUCGUAUGCUGACAAUGAAGG
This 116-nucleotide ribozyme is filed under the name Aedes aegypti (yellow fever mosquito). Its description in RNAcentral is "drz-agam-1 ribozyme". It matches the Rfam family "drz-agam-1 ribozyme". Lineage: Eukaryota; Metazoa; Arthropoda; Insecta; Diptera; Culicidae. The record is from Rfam by way of RNAcentral.